Molecule: ribosomal RNA, 598 nt
Filed under: Sancassania sp. San-1-2011
Lineage: Eukaryota; Metazoa; Arthropoda; Arachnida; Sarcoptiformes; Acaridae
Description: SSU rRNA
Rfam family: Eukaryotic small subunit ribosomal RNA
Source: RNAcentral
GCUCGUAGUUGGAUCUCAGUUCACGUUUGGCGGUCUAUCACAAUGCGUGUUUACUGUCGAACUGAACACUCUACCGUUUACUGUCUGGUGGUGCUCUUCACCGAGUGUCACCAGUGGUCGGUACGUUUACUUUGAAAAAAUUAGAGUGCUCAAAGCGGUUUUUACACGACCGAAUACUGUUGCAUGGAAUAAUGAAAUAGGACUUUGGUUCUAUUUUGUUGGUCUUCGGAACCAAGGUAAUGAUUAAGAGGGACAGACGGGGGCAUUAGUAUUGCGACGCUAGAGGUGAAAUUCUUGGACCGUCGCAAGACUAACUAAAGCGAAAGCAUUUGCCAAGAAUGUUUUCAUUAAUCAAGAACGAAAGUUAGAGGUUCGAAGGCGAUCAGAUACCGCCCUAGUUCUAACCAUAAACGAUGCCAACCAGCAAUCAGCCUGUGUUCUCUUGAUGACACGGCUGGCGGCUUCCGGGAAACCAAAGUCUUUCGGUUCCAGGGGAAGUAUGGUUGCAAAGCUGAAACUUAAAGGAAUUGACGGAAGGGCACCACCAGGAGUGGAGCCUGCGGCUUAAUUUGACUCAACACGGGGAAACNNACCCGGC